UUUGAAUCUUCAUUUUGGCUAAUAUACCCCUCCUUAGUUUUAAAGGAGAUCUCAGGGAUGAAAUAUAUCUGCUGAGUGGACAACCAGAGAUAAUGGGAUAUAAUGUAAAUCAGAUGUACUGAGAGUUUUUUCAGCCUUGCAGUCAUUCAGCUAGACUGAUUUCCCAACUCUUUUCGACCACUGGAGACAUUAUGGAAAACCCCAGCUAUCUGUCAAGUUGGCUAGAGCGGGCAGCACAUGUUCCUGUGGAUUCAGAUGGCCAGUCAAGGAGAUCUCUCAGCAGAGAACCCCUCAGACUGACAGUUGCAUGCUGGGACAUCACUAUGAAUCAACCCUCACCAAUGCUUUGAUGCCACCAAAACACGAAGGAAACUCUUGUUCUUGAUAAAUUGCCUUAAGAAAAAAAAAAAAAA
Long non-coding RNA from Cyprinus carpio carpio, 413 nucleotides. The record is from Ensembl. NCBI's taxonomy places the organism in Eukaryota, Metazoa, Chordata, Actinopteri, Cypriniformes, Cyprinidae.